UCGCCUGGACACCAUUUCAUUUUUCCCGAACCAGGCUCGUGUUGUCGCCGUCCUCUUUCUGAGGCUCACGAAUUCAUUGACAAUGUUGCGGUCUGCGCAGCUCCGCAGCCUCGACACCAAAUAUUUGCUUUGUGGGUUGCGCUGGAGGUAUGCCUUUGGAAGAGAUUUAAGCUGUACAGCCGUUGGGUUGACCAGAUUCGGAAGAAUUUGUUAGAAUUGGGUCUAUCUUUCACUUUCUCAUACUCUCGCGCUGUAGCUCUCGUUGUGGCUGCAGAACCCUUGCGAUCCUUUUCUUGCAGGGGCUCUUGAGACGAUUGAAAGUGUGGAGGUGAAGGAUCGCGUUUGUGUUUUGUGCAUGCAGGUGUGAGUGAUGGGGCUGUCUUCAUAGGAUGAGUUGCAUUGCAGAACAGUGGGCAGGGCAUGUUACAAGCAUGGGAUGAAGGUAGCCGCAGCAGUUCACAGUUGUGAUGCAAAGAAGCUGUAUGUGACCAUGAAAGACGUGGCCAGGCCUUCUUAAGUUGGAUAUGAUGGAUGUUUUCUGUAUGAUCACACGACCGUCUCACUAUUUGUCGAUGUUCAGGUGGAUAAUCCCAUCGGUCGUUAGUGCAAUUGAGGUGGUAGCUUGAGCAAAAUUUGAGUCUUAUUGACGAGGUUUUCAUUGUUAACUCCAGUUGUGUGGUUGUAAUUCUGUGCGAGAGAAGCCUUUUCUGAGAAAAUUUAAGACCAUUCUGAGAAUAAACCGGAAGCAUCUGGUAGUUGUGUGCUAUCGUCCUUCUCAAUGGCUUUCUUCGAUUUGA
Molecule: long non-coding RNA, 797 nt
Organism: Physcomitrium patens
Lineage: Eukaryota; Viridiplantae; Streptophyta; Bryopsida; Funariales; Funariaceae
Source: RefSeq, a predicted model, not a curated record